RNAcentral lists this long non-coding RNA (713 nucleotides) under Monodelphis domestica (gray short-tailed opossum). RNAcentral's name for it is "lncRNA (ENSMODG00000038107.1)". Lineage: Eukaryota; Metazoa; Chordata; Mammalia; Didelphimorphia; Didelphidae. The record is from RNAcentral.
UGAAUAACAUAUAGUACCAUUUUGAAGGAAUUUGCUAUCCAAGUCGCAUUUUGUCCAGGGUUAUGGGAAUAAUACAUUACAUCAUAAUGCAUGGAUUCCAGUCCCUAUCUGUGAAUUUUCUCCAGCACUGGUUCUCUCAUUUAUCUUGUGAUGCCUUCUUCAAAGUGACUCAGGCAUUUCUUUUUGCCUCUAAAAUGACCUGCCAGAGCUAGGUAAAACUGCAGCUGGAGUGAGCUAUAUAGCUUACAGAGGAAAGUCAACAUAGAAGUGAUUGUUCAUUCAUCCAAAAAUAAGAGCUUCCAGCAGAAAGGGGUGGAAAUAGCCAGGCUUAUGAGAAGAAAGAAAGACAACCGCUGACAUCUGAUGAAAGACAUUUAAAGGGGGAAAUUUCUGCUGAUAUAAGUUUAAAAAAUUAAUUUCUGCUUUUGCUUACUCUUCUUUUCUUUUUAUUAACAAAGGACUCCUUGUUUUCCUUGAGGGUAGGGGGGAAAAGUAUUUUUAUUUCUUAAAAACUAAUCCCCUGCUAUGUGUUCCCUACCUGAAAUUAUCAUCUGUGAUAUUCCAGCAGGCUGCUCUGGAAAUGAUAUAUGAGGUUUCCUAGCUUGAGAUCAAAAUUCUGUGUCUGAAAAGCUGGAAAGUAAUUCCCAAGUAUUAAAUAUCAUGUAUUCAGGCAAAUAUUCCCAGUUAUUAAAUAAAAAAGGGAGACAAAUACA